This 274-nucleotide ribosomal RNA is filed under the name uncultured bacterium. RNAcentral describes it as "partial 16S ribosomal RNA". It matches the Rfam family "Bacterial small subunit ribosomal RNA", at positions 523 to 796 of the family's 1533-position model. The record is from RNAcentral.
AUACGGAGGGUCCAAGCGUUAUCCGGAUUCAUUGGGUUUAAAGGGUCCGCAGGCGGGAAAAUAAGUCAGUGGUGAAAGCCUACAGCUCAACUGUAGAACUGCCAUUGAUACUGUUUUUCUUGAGUAUAGAUGAAGUGGGCGGAAUAUAUCAUGUAGCGGUGAAAUGCAUAGAUAUGAUAUAGAACACCGAUUGCGAAGGCAGCUCACUAAACUAUUACUGACGCUCAGGGACGAAAGCGUGGGGAGCGAACAGGAUUAGAUACCCCUGUAGUCC